Molecule: unclassified non-coding RNA, 295 nt
Filed under: fungal sp.
Lineage: Eukaryota; Fungi
Description: partial internal transcribed spacer region
Rfam family: Eukaryotic small subunit ribosomal RNA (bases 1-46)
Source: RNAcentral
AAGUCGUAACAAGGUUUCCGUAGGUGAACCUGCGGAAGGAUCAUUACCAAUCCGAACAACAAAACCCGACCCCUGUGCACCGUAGACGUCCCCUUUGGCGGGCCCGUUUGGCAGACGAACGGCCCGCCGGAGGAUCCCUCCGGCCCUCUCCGGGCCGGUCCGAACAGACCUUUUCACGCUGCCCCGGGCCUUUUGCGCCCCCGGCGACCUGACAUGACAUGUAUGGGAAAACCCACAUACGAACAAAGUAUGAACAAUCGUACAACAACUUUUAACAACGGAUCUCUUGGCUCUC